UACGUAGGGUGCGAGCGUUAAUCGGAAUUACUGGGCGUAAAGCGUGCGCAGGCGGUUCGUUAUGUCCGAUGUGAAAGCCCCGAGCUCAACUUGGGAAUGGCAUUGGAAACUGGCGGGCUGGAGUGUGGCAGAGGGGGGUGGAAUUCCACGUGUAGCAGUGAAAUGCGUAGAGAUGUGGAGGAACACCGAUGGCGAAGGCAGCCCCCUGGGCCAACACUGACGCUCAGGCACGAAAGCGUGGGGAGCGAACAGG
Molecule: ribosomal RNA, 253 nt
Filed under: uncultured bacterium
Lineage: Bacteria
Description: partial 16S ribosomal RNA
Rfam family: Bacterial small subunit ribosomal RNA
Source: RNAcentral